CCGCCCACAGCUGCGGAACUUAGCUCAUUGAGCUCCAAUAAAGAUAGUUAAAGUCGUAACUCAAGCAAAGGAAGAAAUCAAAAGCUCAAACACCAAAUUAGCUAGAUUCAAAGUCAAUUUGAUUGAAGCUCGAGUAGAUAGCAUCAUGGACACUCAAAAAACUCUCACAAGUGUCAUGUGUCUGACUCAGUAAAGACUUCUUCAGCUUCAAGCGCCAUCAACUUUGAAGAUCUAAAACAAUGUUAUGUUCAGCUCGUCAUUCCUUCUUGUCCGUGUUAUGUUGAACUAAAAUUGAUUGAUUAUGUCGCUUAACAGAAUGAACACUUCAAGGUGCUAAUACCACUGUUCAGGGACUCAAUCUCUUAAUUUCAAGUACUCUAUCAGGUAUCCGCCUUUUGUUUUGUUCUUUUUAAAUCAAUUUCUAUUGUCACAAUUGAAAAAACCUAUUUUGAUGCUUCCUUAUAUGUAAAUGAAGUAUUUAAUUUUUCUCCAUAUUGAUUAUUGUUUUUCCCUGUAUAUGGUACCUCCUGUAAAUUAGAAUAACUUAUAGAAUCUGUACCUGCAAAUAAAAAAAAUUAAUUAGAAAAAAAAAUUCGCCAGGCCAUUUCCUUCUCUCAGAAUAUGAACUAUCUCCACCAUCUCUGAAAAUUAUUUCCUUAGUUCAUUAAUCCUUCUAAUGUCCAAAGAGAUAUUCCAAGGAAUUUGCAAUGAAUGAUCCAUAACCUUUUUGAGAAUGAGAGAAUCAGUUUUCAUUGUAACCGGAAUGAAGGAAUUAACUAUACAAUACUUUAAGCCAUUUCUCAUGACUUUUGCUUCUGCUUGUAAGACAGAUCCCUCCCCAACUAACUUAGAUUCAACAUAUACAAAUUCACCUUCUUUAUUCAUGAUGCAAAAGGUACUGGACAUAGGUUCAGGAUUGCCUUUUUACAGGCACCAUCCGAAUUACAUUUAAAGCUUCCCCUAUCAGGUUUAUUCUAUUUGACUACCUUACUGAUUUGCACAGGAGUAUAUUUCUCAAAAAAUUGAACUAACAUAGGCCAAUUUUUAAAAAUAUUUCUCAAUCAAGGGAAAGUGAAAGUAGAAAAAUUAUGAAUGUUUUUGUUAAGCUCUGUCAUCAUACUCUGUAUAGACAUUUUCCACCAUGAUUAAUUCCAUUCCUUCUUUUCCAUAUAUGCCAUACCACCAUAGCUGGAGUAACUUUAAAAAUAAUCUUAAGUUUUGGAGCACAGUUUGCUAACCACCAUUUAAAAAAUAUACCCUUUAACUGAAUAAAUAGAUCAGUUUUUUCAGUUGCUUAUGUCAGGAUAUUUCAUACCAUUUUUGUGUCUAGACAGUCACAAAAUAGAUGCUGAAAAGUUUCUACCUGUGUAUUAUUACAACAACAACAAAUAGCAUUCUCCACCACCUUCAUCUGGAUUAAUACCUCUCCUAUAGGAAUUCUCUUCUUGCACACCCUCCACAUUAAAGAAACUAUCUUAUAUGAAAGCCCCUUAACCCUAAUAUUUGAAAAAAUAUCAUGUUUUCUUCUUUCUUCCUUAACCAAAUUUCAAGUAGUAGCAACUGUAAAGUCACCAAUACUUGACAGAGUCCACCAUCCCUUAUCCCAGUCUUCUGAAAUAGGAAUUACAUUAAUGUUCAUAACUGGUUAACCUCUUCUAAUCCUUCAUGAUUUCCUUCUGUAAUAGGCAAAACAUAAUGCAAAUCCCCUAGUUGAGUCCAAUUAUCAUGCCAAAUACUAGCACUCCCUCUUCUAUGUUCCCACCAAAUUUCUUGUUCAAGGAAAUUCCUUGCUUCUAUCAUAUAUUUUCAAAUCUGAUACCGAACCCUCCACUCCACUAUUUGAGGCCUUUGCCUUUUGCAGUAUUUAACCCAUAUGAAGUUGGCCCAAAGGAAUUUCUUUGUCCUAAAAUUCCAUCAUAGCUUAGUAAAUAAGGCUUUAGAAAUAUCAAAUAAAGAUCUGAAGCCCAAGCCACCUUCAUUUUUAGGAAAACAAACCUCAAAUCAAGCUACCCAAUGUCUAUUUCUUCCUUCCUCUUUAAAGUCCCACAAAAAUAAAAUCUUGCAAAGAUUUUGUGUAGGUAAUGAAUAACAUAUUUUGAAGGAACACCUACAGAUAAUAGAUAGAUAGAUACGAAUGCUCUAAAGAACAUUAUUGAUCAAUACUUACUUACCAUCAAAGAUAAAAUUUUGUCCGUUCAAGCUUGAAGCUUAUUCUGAAAUUUUUAAGUAACUCUGUAAAGUAAAAUUUUCUUUUCCCUGGAUGCUCAAUUGGAUAUCCAAGGUAUAUCAUUGAAAAUUUUCCUUUACUGAAACCUGUAACUUCCUCUACCAUUUGCACAAUAUUACCAGCAGUUUUAAGAUAGACAACAAAAAAACUUUUUUCUUUAUUUAUCUUCUGGCCAGAUUAAAGUUCAUACUCAUUUAAAUUAUUCAUAAUCAAUCCCAAAGACUUCUUAUCAGCAGGACAAAAAAUGAUAGUAUCAUCAGCUUAGGCUAGGUGAUUGAUACUAUCACUUCAUUUAGGCAUUCCAAAAUCUUUAAAAUCCUUGUUAAAAAAUAAUUUAUUUAAAGAUAGUGAAAGUACCUCAGCAGCUAGAAUGAAUAGUGUCGGAGAUAAACACUGAAUACCAGUUAUUGGAAACCAAUCUCCAAAUCUUGUCCACCAUUAAUGAAUCAAAAUCCAUAGCUUUUAGUUCCUUGAUUAAGAAUCUCCAAUCAACUCUAUCAUAAGCCUUUGUCAUAUUCAAUUUAAUAACCACAUUGGCUAGUUUCCCCCUUUUUCUAAUAUUACAAAUUAUCUCUUGAGUUAGCAAUAUAUUCUUAGUAAUAUUUCUACCUUUCACAAAACCUGACUAGUUUUGUGAUAUGAUUCUAGGUAAAAUACCCUUCAAUCUAUCAUGCAUUACUUUGGAGAUAACUUUAUUUAAAAAAUUACGCAAACUAGUUGAUCUUAAGUCAAAGAAUAUAGGAAUAUUUUCUUUUUUGGGCAAUAAAAUCAAGUUAGUAUGAGUAAUUGACUUAGGCAAAGUAGAACCUUCCAUAAAACUCUUAACCAUUUCAAUUAUGUCUGCCCCUACAAUAUUCCAACAAGAUUGAUAAAAUUUACCCCUGAAACGAUCAGGUCCACUAGCACUAUCUCCAUUCAAUUCAAACACCACUUUCUUGAUUUCUUCCUCUAUAAGCAUAACAUUCAACAUCUCAUUAUCAACAUCAGUCACCCUAAUAGGAAUCUCUUUUAACAUAGAUAACCCCAAAUUCUGUGUUUCAGCCGUGAACUGAUUUUGAAAAAAAUUAAUUGCUUCAGCAGCUACAUCUUCCCGGCCUUCAGUGCAUCCUCCAUCUCUUUUCCCAAUUUUAUUGAUGGCCAGCCUCUUCCUUUUUUCAUUUACUAAGUUGUGAAAAAAAUUAAGUGUUUCUAUCCCCCUCAGUGAACCACUGUAUACCUGAUUUCUGUGUUCAGUACUCUUCCUCAUAAUGCAAAUAUUUCUUUAAUUCAGCCUGCGCAUGUUUCAUAACCAUCCUAUUUUCAUGAUUUGGAGAUUCUUCAAACAAAUGUUCUUUUAUUCUCAUAAUUUCUUUUCUUAUAAUCAGCUUUUUGAAUAUGUCACCAAACUUUUCUUUACUCCAUUUAGAUAAAGUUGUUUUAGUGUUUUUGAUUUUCUGCUUGAGCCUUAUAAAAAUAUAUUUUGUCCCAUCAAAUCUCCAACUGUCUUGCAGCACAUUUUGAAAAUCUUCAGCUUCUGUCCAGAAUGACAAAAACUUAAAGGGCUUAAUGGUAUGAACUUGUUGAUCUCCACACUCUAGCAAUAAAAGAGCAUGCAUGAUCAGACUUCGUUCUUGCUAAAUGUUCCACCUCCACAUGAAUAAAAUAAUUCAACCAUUCCUGAUUAAUUAGAACUUUGUCAAGUCUCUUAAGAAUACAAUCCCAGUUGCUCUACCAUUCCACCAAGUAAAAGGACUUCCUUUAAACUUGGUGUCAAAUAACUCACAAGAAUUUACACAAAAUGCAACGUCUUAAUAUUCUUGUGAGUAAAUUGGUAAUCCACCAAUUUUUCUCCUCAUUAUUUAAAAUUACAUUAAAAUCUCCACCAAUGACUCAUGGUAUAUUCAUAUUAUGAUUGAAAGUGUAAAUAUCAUGCCAUAAACUUAUCCUCUCUUCUGCAGUACACUUUGCAUAUACUGCAGUGGUAACAAUAGUCCUCCCAUCUAGAAAUUUGAGUUGAGUGGACAAUUAUUGAUUAGUAUCUGAUAAAACAGUAACCUGGAUAUCAUCUUGAAUAAAAAUUUAGAUUUUACCAUUUCGAUUGUAGUUAGCAUAGUUCAUACCUAACCUCUUUUUAUAUCUUUGAAUCUGAGAAUUAUCUUGGAAAGGCUCCAUCAAAGCUAUAUAAAAUAAUUUGUGAUGUCUGUAACAUUUGAACUCUGUGAAAAGCAUAUUGAGUUCUCACAGACCUUAUGUUCCAAAAAAGGGCUUUACAACUUAUUUAGAAUUAGCUCUUGUGCCCCUUUUAGGCACUCUUGUAAUAGGCCUACUGUUAUCUACGUUGCUUCUUUCCUGUUGUGUUAUUGGUGAAAAUCCUGCAUCCUUCAGUGCUUGAUUAGUACUUUCUUCAUGAUUAUCUUCUGGAAUCACUCCAUCCAUUACCUUAUCAGUCUUGUUAUCAUCUUUCAACACUUUAUGGAAAACUAAAUCAUGCAGUUUGGCCGGCAACCAAACUUGACUGAGCACUUGAAACCUUUACAUAAUCCUAUGGUUUAUUAUACUCAACAGUUUCCACAGAAGGGGUUGAUAUAUGAUCAUGAUUCUUUUGAAGAGGAGGAAAAUCCAUUAAUGAUGCAUGUCUAGCCACUUGUGGUGGUUGGCCGACAGCUAGAGCAGCCAUCAUUGUUCGUAUGGGAUUAGGGUUGUCCGAUAAAUACGGUCAUUAUAUGGUCUUACUUAUAUAUAGUAAAGAUUCUUAAAAUAUAAAAGAAAUAAAAAUGAUGGCUUUCGAAUUUUCAUAUACGUACUAAAUGUACUAUUUUUGAAG
This 5030-nucleotide long non-coding RNA is filed under the name Capsicum annuum. RNAcentral describes it as "long non-coding RNA (CANN_LNC022489)". Lineage: Eukaryota; Viridiplantae; Streptophyta; Magnoliopsida; Solanales; Solanaceae. The record is from RNAcentral.